Molecule: ribosomal RNA, 65 nt
Filed under: Lactifluus rubroviolascens
Lineage: Eukaryota; Fungi; Basidiomycota; Agaricomycetes; Russulales; Russulaceae
Description: Lactarius rubroviolascens partial 28S large subunit ribosomal RNA
Rfam family: Eukaryotic large subunit ribosomal RNA (bases 9-65)
Source: RNAcentral
GAACCCCUUGACCUCAAAUCGGGUGAGACUACCCGCUGAACUUAAGCAUAUCAAUAAGCGGAGGA